GCCCGGGUGGCGGAAUUGGCAGACGCGGGGGACUCAAAAUCCCUUUCCCCCUGGGGAGUGCGGGUUCAAGUCCCGCCCCGGGCA
Molecule: transfer RNA, 84 nt
Filed under: Acidimicrobiales bacterium
Lineage: Bacteria; Bacillati; Actinomycetota; Acidimicrobiia; Acidimicrobiales
Description: tRNA-Leu
Rfam family: tRNA
About the family: Transfer RNA (tRNA) molecules are approximately 80 nucleotides in length. Their secondary structure includes four short double-helical elements and three loops (D, anti-codon, and T loops).
Source: RNAcentral